RNAcentral lists this long non-coding RNA (393 nucleotides) under Eucalyptus grandis. Its description in RNAcentral is "long non-coding RNA (EGRA_LNC001115)". Lineage: Eukaryota; Viridiplantae; Streptophyta; Magnoliopsida; Myrtales; Myrtaceae. The record is from RNAcentral.
GUGCAAUGUGUUGAACAUAUAUCCCUUCGAAGCCGAGCGAACAUAGCCUAAAGUAAGAAAUUUCUGGCGCACGCGAGAUAGACGACGACUCACCUGCGUGAGAAAGCCGCAUUCGAGCAAAACCAUGCAGAAAUCCGCCAUCAUUGGAGCUCCCCUCUUUCCGCAGGCGGCGAGGCAUUCGGGGGGGUUCGGGAAAAACAUGAUGACGCAAUGAUCACCGCCUAGAUGGGGUCCGGAGCAAAAGCGAAAAGAGGAAAAGGAACAGAAAGAUUUGCAGGGCCAAGAAAUGAUCGAGCGAAGAGAACAGAGAGAAGAUAGAUAUCUUCAAGAGCCCGAAGAAGGAUCCUCCGCCCCAGUGCGGGAUCCUAAUAUAUCGCCCCGGAGCAAUACGAG